CCUACGGGCGGCAGCAGUGAGGAAUAUUGGUCAAUGGCCGCUAGCCUGAACCAGCCAAGUAGCGUGAAGGAUGACUGCCCUAUGGGUUGUAAACUUCUUUUAUCUGGGAGUAAAGUGCAGUAUGUAUACUGCUUUGCAUGUACCUUAUGAAUAAGGAUCGGCUAACUCCGUGCCAGCAGCCGCGGUAAUACGGAGGAUCCGAGCGUUAUCCGGAUUUAUUGGGUUUAAAGGGAGCGUAGGCGGGUUGGUAAGUCAGCUGUGAAAUUUGGGGGCUCAACCUGAAAAUUGCAGUUGAUACUGGCAUCCUUGAGUGCAGUAGAGGUAGGCGGAAUGCGUGGUGUAGCGGUGAAAUGCUUAGAUAUCACGAAGAACUCCGAUUGCGAAGGCAGCGUGCUGGACUGUAACUGACGCUGAUGCUCGAAAGUGUGGGUAUCAAACAGGAUUAGAUACCCGAGUAGUC
Molecule: ribosomal RNA, 460 nt
Filed under: uncultured bacterium
Lineage: Bacteria
Description: partial 16S ribosomal RNA
Rfam family: Bacterial small subunit ribosomal RNA
Source: RNAcentral